This 467-nucleotide ribosomal RNA is filed under the name uncultured bacterium. RNAcentral describes it as "partial 16S ribosomal RNA". It matches the Rfam family "Bacterial small subunit ribosomal RNA", at positions 28 to 507 of the family's 1533-position model. The record is from RNAcentral.
GACGAACGCUGGCGGUGUGCUUAACACAUGCAAGUCGAACGGUAAGGCCCUUUCGGGGGUACACGAGUGGCGAACGGGUGAGUAACACGUGAGUAACCUGCCCUCAUCUCUGGGAUAACAGUCGGAAACGGUUGCUAAUACUGGAUAUGAGCUUGCAAGGCAUCUUGUGGGUUGGAAAGAUUUUUUUGGUUGGGGAUGGACUCGCGGCCUAUCAGCUUGUUGGUGAGGUAGUGGCUCACCAAGGCUUCGACGGGUAGCCGGCCUGAGAGGGCGACCGGCCACAUUGGGACUGAGAGACGGCCCAAACUCCUACGGGAGGCAGCAGUGGGGAAUAUUGCACAAUGGACGGAAGUCUGAUGCAGCAACGCCGCGUGCGGGAUGACGGCCUUCGGGUUGUAAACCGCUUUCAAUUGUGACGAAGCUUUUUUGUGACGGUAGCAGUAAAAGAAGCACCGGCUAACUACGUG